This 468-nucleotide ribosomal RNA is filed under the name uncultured bacterium. RNAcentral's name for it is "partial 16S ribosomal RNA". It matches the Rfam family "Bacterial small subunit ribosomal RNA", at positions 28 to 507 of the family's 1533-position model. The record is from RNAcentral.
GACGAACGCUGGCGGCGUGCUUAACACAUGCAAGUCGAACGGAAAGGCCCUGCUUUUGUGGGGUGCUCGAGUGGCGAACGGGUGAGUAACACGUGAGUAACCUGCCCUUGACUUUGGGAUAACUUCAGGAAACUGGGGCUAAUACCGGAUAGGAGCUCCUGCUGCAUGGUGGGGGUUGGAAAGUUUCGGCGGUUGGGGAUGGACUCGCGGCUUAUCAGCUUGUUGGUGGGGUAGUGGCUUACCAAGGCUUUGACGGGUAGCCGGCCUGAGAGGGUGACCGGCGACAUUGGGACUGAGAUAGGGCCCAGACGCGUACGGGAGGCAGCAGUGGGGAAUAUUGCACAAUGGGCGGAAGCGUGAUGCAGCAACGCCGCGUGCGGGAUGACGGCCUUCGGGUUGUAAACCGCUUUCGCCUGUGACGAAGCGUGAGUGACGGUAAUGGGUAAAGAAGCACCGGCUAACUACGUG